CACAGGUAGAGAAGAGAGAGAACACAGGUAGAGAAGAGAGAGAACACAGGUAGAGAAGAGAGAGAACACAGGUAGAGAAGAGAGAGAACACAGGUAGAGAAGAGAGAGAACACAGGUAGAGAAGAGAGAGAACACAGGUAGAGAAGAGAGAGAACACAGGUAGAGGAGAGAGAGAAAGAACACAGGUAGAGGAGAAGAAGAGAGAGAGCACAGGUAGAGGAGAAGAAGAGAGAGAACACAGGUAGAGGAGAAGAAGAAAGAGAACACAGGUAGAGAAGAAGAAGAGAGAGAACACAGGUAGAGAAGAGAGAGAAAGAACACAGGUAGAGGAGAAGAAGAGAGAGAGCACAGGUAGAGGAGAAGAAGAGAGAGAACACAGGUAGAGGAGAAGAAGAGAGAGAACACAGGUAGAGGAGAAGAAGAAAGAGAACACAGGUAGAGGAGAAGAAAGGAGAGAACACAGGUAGAGAAGAGAGAGAGAGAACACAGGUAGAGAUGGAGGAUGAGCUGAAGAAAGAGAACAGGUAGAGGACUGGAGGACAGAGAACAGGUAGAGGACUGGAGGACAGAGAACAGGUAGAGGAUUGGAGGACAGAGAACAGGUAGAGGAGGACUAGAGGACAGAGAACAGGUAGAGGAUUGGAGGACAGAGAACAGGUAGAGGAUUGGAGGACAGA
Long non-coding RNA from Oncorhynchus keta (chum salmon), 677 nucleotides. RefSeq lists it as uncharacterized. The transcript is spliced from 3 exons. The record is from RefSeq and is a predicted model, not a curated record. Lineage: Eukaryota; Metazoa; Chordata; Actinopteri; Salmoniformes; Salmonidae.